AUCUAUCUGGAGCAAUUUUUCUGGGCUGCAAAGCCUAAAAUAAAUCAUUCAAAAUUAGAUCUGACAGGUAGAUCAGCUCUGUCCCACAACACAGUAUAAUCCUGAGGUCCAUCAUUUGCUUCCCAAUAACCUAGGUUCUUAAAUGCCUCAGAACUUACUAGGUUACUUAGUAACAUCCUGGU
Molecule: long non-coding RNA, 182 nt
Organism: Perognathus longimembris pacificus (Pacific pocket mouse)
Lineage: Eukaryota; Metazoa; Chordata; Mammalia; Rodentia; Heteromyidae
Exons: 2
Source: RefSeq, a predicted model, not a curated record